UUCAGAGGGGGCAAGCGUUGUUCGGAAUUACUGGGCGUAAAGCGUGCGUAGGCGGUCCGCGAAGUCUGAUGUGAAAGCCCCGGGCUCAACCUGGGAACUGCAUUGGAAACUAACGGGCUCGAGUGUGGCAGAGGGGGGUGGAAUUCCACGUGUAGCAGUGAAAUGCGUAGAGAUGUGGAGGAACACCGAUGGCGAAGGCAGCCCCCUGGGCUAACACUGACGCUCAGGCACGAAAGCGUGGGGAGCAAACAGG
This 253-nucleotide ribosomal RNA is filed under the name uncultured bacterium. RNAcentral describes it as "partial 16S ribosomal RNA". It matches the Rfam family "Bacterial small subunit ribosomal RNA", at positions 524 to 776 of the family's 1533-position model. The record is from RNAcentral.